AUGUCGUUAAUCUGUUCAUUUUCCAUACAGGGCUCAGUUGUGACUUUGACCAAAUGGCUGUGCAGAGGAAUAAAGGGAUCUGGCAGGCCUGUCUGGCCUUCACCUAGUAUCAGGGGAACCUAUGACAAUGUCCUCUGGCUUACACCACUGCCCAUUAGUGACCCAUACUAUUGCGGUUUAAAGGGUCACAUUAGAGACAGAUGUCCAGUCUGUCAGGGCUUCAAAUCCAGAAUGAGGAAGCAAAGAGGAAAGCACUUUAGAUAUAUUCUCAGAACCUGCUUGGUCAGCUCAUGGGAGCUCAUCAACCACUACGAGUGCUCCCCCAGCCUUGCCAGACAGAGAGACCAAGGAAGAUUCCCGUCACUGGGGCCAUCCUCUAGGAAGCUUCAGAGCUCAGACAACUCUUGUUAUCCAAAGCCUAAGAAUCUGACCAGAGAUGAAGGCCACUCCGGUAUCAAGGGAAGAGUGUGCCAAUUGGUUUGCCAUGCCACUGUAUCAGCUCACAGUGGCUUUCCCCGCCAUUGACUCUGGUGCCCACACUGGGACCAUCGAGAAUGGCUACCUCAUCAAUAAUGACAGUAGAUAGAAUCUCAGAAUCGUAGGACUGGAAGGGACUUCGAGAGGUCCUCUAGUCCAGUCUCCCUCAUGGCAGGACUAAGUAUUAUCUAGACAAUCCCUGACAGGUGUUUGGAGAUUUUUAAGAGCAGGUUAGACAGAGACAGAAAUAACAUGAUCCAAUCACUGGAAGGUGAACCUAGAUGGGAAAUAAGACAUACAUUUUAAACUGCCAAACCAGUGAGAGGUCAUUCUCUUACAGCACACCAGCUUUCUAAAUGGAUUAUCAGCUGCAUUGUUACCCUAGGCAGCAUAGCAUGUAACAUGCUCCUUGAGAAGAGCUGUCAGUGCAUUCAACUAGACAGCAUUCGGCCUCCCUGGCACUUGUUGGAAAUGUCCCUAUUGUGGAUAUGUGCAAGGCAGCAACGUUGUCCUUGGUCCAUAUGUUGGCCAGACACUAUGCAAUCACUACCACUUCAAGGGAAGAUGUGAAUGUGUGGAAAGCAGUCCUGCAGUCUUUCUUCCUUUGAGACUCCUAGUCCUAUCUCCAUUGUAAACAGGCACCUACAAUGUGAUGGAUAUAUGCAAUCGCUGGAAGAAAGCACUUACCCAUCUUCUUGUAACUGUUUUUUGAGAUGAGUUGCACAUGUCCAUUACAGAUUACACAACCUUUCCCAACACAUCACCGUCAAUCAUCUGGAUUGCAGUUUGAAGGAACUGAAGGAAGAGCCAGGUGGCUCCACCUUUUAUACCCUCAGCUCGGAGCACAAGGAAACCAGGUUGCUUACAGGGCACUCCAGAAAACUGUCCAGCACCUGUGCCUGGAAUGCACACACCUACAGUAAAAUGGAGAUAUGCAACACAUCUCAAAGAACAACAGUUAUGAGAAGGUGAAUAACUGGUUUUUUGUUUUGUUUUCCUGGGUGAGACUUGACUUCACUUGAGAAAAGGAAUGUGUAAGUUGUUGGCC
Molecule: long non-coding RNA, 1525 nt
Filed under: Chrysemys picta bellii (western painted turtle)
Lineage: Eukaryota; Metazoa; Chordata; Testudines; Emydidae
Description: lncRNA (ENSCPBG00000015882.1)
Source: RNAcentral